GAUGAACGCUGGCGGCGUGCUUAACACAUGCAAGUCGAACGAAGGACCGAGAAGCUUGUCUCUCGGAUGUGAGCGGCGGACGGGUGAGUAACAGGUGGAUAACUUACCUGUAAGUAUGGGAUAACUUCGGGAAGCCGGAGAGUAGACCAGAUAAGAUUUUAACCCGCAGGGUCCAAAAGUGAAAGACGGUCGUGCGGACACGUACAGAGGGAUCCGCUCGGCAUUCGUUAGGUGGUAAGGUCAGGGAGUUCCAAGGCAACGAUGCAUACCCGACCUCAGAGGGUGGUCGCCCACCCUGGAGCUGAGACACGCUCCCGACUCCUGCGGGAGGCCGCAGUCGGGAAUCUUCCGCAAUGGGGGAGAGCCUGACAGAGCAACGCCGCGUGAGUGAUGAAGGUGCUCGGAUCGUGAAGCUCUGUUAUUAGGGGAGAACAUAUUUGUAAGUAGCUGUGCACAUCUUGACGGUACCUGAUCAGAAAGCCCCGGCUAACUACGUG
RNAcentral lists this ribosomal RNA (497 nucleotides) under uncultured bacterium. Its description in RNAcentral is "partial 16S ribosomal RNA". It matches the Rfam family "Bacterial small subunit ribosomal RNA", at positions 28 to 507 of the family's 1533-position model. The record is from RNAcentral.